This 404-nucleotide ribosomal RNA is filed under the name Actinomycetes bacterium. RNAcentral describes it as "Actinobacteria bacterium partial 16S ribosomal RNA". It matches the Rfam family "Bacterial small subunit ribosomal RNA", at positions 355 to 776 of the family's 1533-position model. The record is from RNAcentral. Lineage: Bacteria; Bacillati; Actinomycetota; Actinomycetes.
UGGGGAAUAUUGGACAAUGGGCGCAAGCCUGAUCCAGCCAUGCCGCGUGAGUGAUGAAGGCCCUAGGGUUGUAAAGCUCUUUCACCGGUGAAGAUAAUGACGGUAACCGGAGAAGAAGCCCCGGCUAACUUCGUGCCAGCAUCCGCGGUAAUACGAAGGGGGCUAGCGUUGUUCGGAUUUACUGGGCGUAAAGCGCACGUAGGCGGACUUUUAAGUCAGGGGUGAAAUCCCGGGGCUCAACCCCGGAACUGCCUUUGAUACUGGAAGUCUUGAGUAUGGUAGAGGUGAGUGGAAUUCCGAGUGUAGAGGUGAAAUUCGUAGAUAUUCGGAGGAACACCAGUGGCGAAGGCGGCUCACUGGACCAUUACUGACGCUGAGGUGCGAAAGCGUGGGGAGCAAACAGG